ACAGCAGUAGCCGCGGUAAUACGUAGGUGGCAAGCGUUGUCCGGAAUUAUUGGGCGUAAAGCGCGCGCAGGCGGAUCAGUCAGUCUGUCUUAAAAGUUCGGGGCUUAACCCCGUGAGGGGAUGGAAACUGCUGAUCUAGAGUAUCGGAGAGGAAAGUGGAAUUCCUAGUGCAGCGGUGAAAUGCGUAGAUAUUAGGAAGAACACCAGUGGCGAAGGCGACUUUCUGGACGAAAACUGACGCUGAGGCGCGAAAGCCAGGGGAGCGAACGGGAUUAGAUACCCCUGUAGUCCCUGUCUCUUAUACA
This 305-nucleotide ribosomal RNA is filed under the name uncultured bacterium. RNAcentral's name for it is "partial 16S ribosomal RNA". It matches the Rfam family "Bacterial small subunit ribosomal RNA", at positions 506 to 809 of the family's 1533-position model. The record is from RNAcentral.